UACGGGGGGGGCAAGCGUUGUUCGGAAUUACUGGGCGUAAAGGGCUCGUAGGCGGCCAACUAAGUCGGACGUGAAAUCCCUCGGCUUAACCGGGGAACUGCGUCCGAUACUGGAUGGCUUGAGGUUGGGAGAGGGAUGCGGAAUUCCAGGUGUAGCGGUGAAAUGCGUAGAUAUCUGGAGAAACACCGGGGGCGAAGGCGGCAUCCUGGGCCAAUUCUGACGCUGAGUGAGCGAAAGCCAGGGGAGCAAACGGG
RNAcentral lists this ribosomal RNA (254 nucleotides) under uncultured bacterium. RNAcentral describes it as "partial 16S ribosomal RNA". It matches the Rfam family "Bacterial small subunit ribosomal RNA", at positions 524 to 776 of the family's 1533-position model. The record is from RNAcentral.